Molecule: long non-coding RNA, 686 nt
Organism: Puntigrus tetrazona (Sumatra barb)
Lineage: Eukaryota; Metazoa; Chordata; Actinopteri; Cypriniformes; Cyprinidae
Exons: 3
Source: RefSeq, a predicted model, not a curated record
GUCGGAUGACUGAGCGCUGCUGACGCGAUCGGUGCAGGAGGAGGACAGAGCAGAUGCCAUGUGAAAAAGAGAGUGGGAGGAUAAGUACAAAGUGCACAUGGCCAAGACGCCACAAGCACACGGGAUCCUGAACGUAAUGAGAAGCAAUGAUAAGGGCCUCAUCAACAAACACUGCGUUACUGGGGGUCAAGGUCUUGGUGGAAUACAUCUGCUACACUGCUGCAGCAGAGCAGGUACAGAGACUCGCUACUGCCAAUACGUCCACAACAGACCGCUGUGAGCAUGAGAUCUGCUGUCAUUCGGAAUAACUGCAGAAUAAGUACGCUGCUGUCCAGAGCAGCUCGUCCGGCCCAGGCCGCGGUCACUGUGACUGAGUUACAGGCUGCAGAAGGAUUGUGGGUGAUCAGCUCGGUGCUGUGUGCGCUGAUACCAUUAAAUCAGCCCUUCUGCAUGUCAACACAGAGUGAAGCUCUCUGGCUCUUUUUCUCUCUGCCUGUAAACCCAAGUAAGCAUCGCGAGCAUGUGCAGUCUAGCAGAAACAUGUCUAAUUGAUCUGGGCUCAUUUCACUUGACUCCGCAGUUUUCACACAAGAGUUCACAACCUUCUCACCACAAGCCCUGCCCUGCCCUGCCUUAUAAUUAUCGGGGUACGACGCCUAAAAAUAAAAAUCUUGUGUGUGUGCAUA